CUAAGAGAAAGGUAAAAAUUAAAGAAAGCUAAUGCUUUCUUUAAUAAAACCGUAUAAAUUGUUUUAAUCUUUAAUAUACGGUAAGUCUUGAAGUACACAAGACGCUCCCUUACUCUUUUCCCCAAUGCCUGUUCUUUUCCUCUUCCUCUUUUUUAUUUAAAUCUGAGGGGAUAUAGCUCAGCUGGCUAGAGCGGCGGCUUUGCAAGCCGUAGGUCAGGGGUUCAAAUCCCCUUAUCUCCAAAGCCUUGAAAAAGGUUUUAAGUUUAAGUGUAAAUUUAAACUAUUGAUAUUUGAAAUAGAUAGGGAAGGGAACGAAAAAAUGAAAGUAAGGCGGUUUAUAUCGGAGUGUAAACGUAAAAUCGGUUAAUUAAAUUGACUGUGAGGUUUAUGUAAAGAUAUAAGCUGUUAAGAAAUAAGUUCAUUCUUUGAAAAUGAGAAAGAAGGGACGAUAAUAU
Molecule: transfer RNA, 455 nt
Filed under: spirochete isolate 1-9185MED
Lineage: Bacteria; Pseudomonadati; Spirochaetota; Spirochaetia; Spirochaetales; Spirochaetaceae
Description: 16S-23S intergenic spacer region
Rfam family: tRNA (bases 167-240)
Source: RNAcentral